GCAGCGGCAAAAUCCGUUGCCGAGAUUGGCGUCUCGGAAAGAGUCUUGGAGCCGACCCAUGCUCUUGCGUGGUUUUU
This 77-nucleotide small RNA is filed under the name Aeromonas hydrophila. RNAcentral describes it as "isrK". It matches the Rfam family "isrK Hfq binding RNA". The record is from RNAcentral. Lineage: Bacteria; Pseudomonadati; Pseudomonadota; Gammaproteobacteria; Aeromonadales; Aeromonadaceae.